Molecule: ribosomal RNA, 484 nt
Filed under: uncultured bacterium
Lineage: Bacteria
Description: partial 16S ribosomal RNA
Rfam family: Bacterial small subunit ribosomal RNA
Source: RNAcentral
AUUGAACGCUGGCGGCAUGCUUUAUACAUGCAAGUCGAACGGCAGCGCGGGCUUCUUCCUGGUCGCAAGUUGCGAACGGGUGAGUAAUUCACCGGAACGUGCCCAACAGUUGGGGAUAGGCUGGCUAAAGGCAGAUUAAUAUCGCACAGGACCAGAGGGUGAAAGCGGGGGUCCGAAAGUCCUAGCGCGAUUGGAUGUCCCGAAGACGCAGUAGCUAGUUGGUAGGGUAACGGCUUACCAAGGCGACGAUCCGUAGCUGGUCUGAGAGGACGACCUGCCACACUGGGACUGAGACACGGCCCAGACUCCUACGGGAGGCAGCAGUAGGGAAUUUUGCACAAUGGGGGCAAGCCUGAUGCAGCAAUGCCGCGUGCGUGAAGAAGGUCUUCGGAUUGUAAAACGCUGUUAUUAGGGAAGAAAACCUCUGUACUUAUACCCGCACGGCAUGACGGUACCGAAAGAGUAAGCACCGGCUAACUACGUG